AAAAAGGCAAUGAGGGAAAGAGUACCCAGAAUUCGUGUUUUCAGCGAGCCGGGUUGGUGUGAGCCGGCAAUGCUUUUUUGGGGAAAGGGCUUCCUGAGCCGCAGGAGGAAAGCUUUAUUUUUUCUAAAGCAAGUAAAACCUGCAACCAUGAAAAGAGGGCUGAAUUCAAAACCUCAGCCAAGCAGGGUGGAACCGCGGGAUAAUUCCCGUCCCUGGU
This 217-nucleotide non-coding RNA is filed under the name Desulfofarcimen acetoxidans. Its description in RNAcentral is "Desulfotomaculum acetoxidans T-box sequence". It matches the Rfam family "T-box leader". Rfam says of the family: Uncharged tRNA acts as the effector for transcription antitermination of genes in the T-box leader family. T-boxes are found upstream of many aminoacyl-tRNA synthetase genes and some amino acid biosynthetic genes usually in Gram-positive bacteria. Lineage: Bacteria; Bacillati; Bacillota; Clostridia; Eubacteriales; Peptococcaceae. The record is from RNAcentral.